This 413-nucleotide unclassified non-coding RNA is filed under the name uncultured marine bacterium 311. RNAcentral's name for it is "partial 16S-23S ribosomal RNA intergenic spacer". The stretch from base 292 to 413 matches the Rfam family "Bacterial large subunit ribosomal RNA", at positions 1 to 121 of the family's 2925-position model. The record is from RNAcentral.
CCUCCUUAAAAAAUAAUCGCUUAGGAUAGGCGUUCACACGAAUAACUUGCUUUUACCUAAAUCAUUUCUUUACAGAUUUGAGAUUAAGGAGCGUUCUUUAACAUUUUUAUAAGUUCAAUCAAGUCACAUCAUAGUGUCUUAGUUUUUUAAUUUAGAUAUGAAUGAUGUGCAAAUGUCACCAAACCCGUCAUGUUUUAGAACAUAAGUUUGGUGUACAUACUGCAAAGUAAUUUUGGCGAAUGACAAUAGAUACUUGAAGAACAUUAAUCAUUAAGUUGUUUGAUGUAAUAUGGUCAAGUAAUUAAGCGCAUACGGUGGAUGCCUUGGCAGCUAGAGGCGAUGAAGGACGUAGUAACUUGCGAUAAGCUUCGGGGAGCCGGUAAACAGGCUUUGAUCCGAAGAUUUCCGAAUGA